GCCCUGCGAGCCUCCCAGAGUUCCCGAGGGCACUAACCUCAUUUCCGGUCCUUGAGGAGCUGUGGCUGUGGGGUGCGCGGGGCGUCUUGUGUCAGUCAAGUGCCCUGGAACUGCAGAGGGGCUCACAGGAAGAGGGAUGAGAUGUUUUCCUCCACAGCUGCCUCCUGUUUCCAGGUGCUGGCUGUUGGGCAGGGCUCAACUGGGCUGUGAGAGACAGCACACCUUCAUGUGGCCUCUUCAUCCAGCCUGGGCUUCCGCAAGCAUGGCACCAAGGCGGCCUCCCAAGACAAAGUUCCUCUGCCCUACUGGCUAACAAGUGGAAACUGCAGUGAGCAGGCCUGCAAAAAGGAAAAAAACAACGUGAAAUAAAUCAUCAUAAUGGAACAAAUGACUCAAAAUAAUGGCAACUACACAGAACCAUCCCGUUAGAAAACACAUGGGGAGAAGGAAGGAAGGCCUUCAUAUGUUCUCAAGUACAAACCCAGUCGUUGCCUUUGUGGGGGCUCCCCUGCCCUCAGGACCUGCCGUCCUUGUCUGCUGGGGCCUCCCUGCUGCCUGCCCCACCCUGUUUCCUGAGGUUGUGGCCCUGAACGUGGUGCCUCAUCUGGGGUGCCUGUCCUUCAUGGGACAAUGACUCUCCCUGCCACCUGCACGGGAGGGCCUCCUGUGCUUCCCCUAAGGUGCUCGCGGGCUUAUCCCACACCCCCAAACUCUGACCCGCCAGGGUCUCUGAGGUCGGUCCAGUUCCUGCUGCUGCUGGGCCAGACACCCCCUCCCUCAGGGCAGCUCAAAUGUCCACCUUCCUGCCCCCUUCAGAUGAUGUGCUGGCCACCACCGCCUCGGGGACUGUGCCCAGAGACCCAGCCCCACAACCUGGCAUGAGCGGCUGGUGGCCAGUGGGGAGGAGGGACGCCUGAAGCCUUCAGCUCCGGUCCUGCAACACCACCAUGCCAGGCUGGGAC
This is a non-coding RNA of Odocoileus virginianus texanus, 962 nucleotides long. The record is from RefSeq and is a predicted model, not a curated record. Lineage: Eukaryota; Metazoa; Chordata; Mammalia; Artiodactyla; Cervidae.